AUUGAACGCUGGCGGCAUGCUUUACACAUGCAAGUCGAACGGUUACAGGCCUUUUGCUCCUGACUUCUGCCGCACGCGUGUGUAUUUCAUCUUAACGUCUCCCUGGUUGUGGGAUAUCGCAUCUAAAUCUGUGCUCUUACCCCAUGUGAUCUCUGGAUGAAAUCGUGGGACCUCUUCGCACUUUUUGCCCUCGCGUCUUUCUAGCUCCCGAUGUCGGAUUAGUUAGUUGGUGGGGUAAAGGCCCACCAAUCCGACGAUCUGUAGCUGGUCUGAGAGGACGACCAGACACACUGGAACUGAGACACGGACCAGACUACUACGGGAGGCAGCAGUGGGGAAUAUUGGACAAUGGGCGAAAGCAUGAUCCAGCAAUGCCGCGUGAGGGAAGAAGGACUUCGGAUUGUAAAGCGCUUUAGUAAGGAAGGAAAAGGAUAAGGAUAAUACCUGGGGGUGAUGACGGUACCGAAAGAAUAAGCACCGGCUAACUACGUG
This 492-nucleotide ribosomal RNA is filed under the name uncultured bacterium. RNAcentral describes it as "partial 16S ribosomal RNA". It matches the Rfam family "Bacterial small subunit ribosomal RNA", at positions 30 to 507 of the family's 1533-position model. The record is from RNAcentral.